Long non-coding RNA from Chionomys nivalis (European snow vole), 592 nucleotides. RefSeq lists it as uncharacterized. The record is from RefSeq and is a predicted model, not a curated record. The transcript is spliced from 5 exons. Lineage: Eukaryota; Metazoa; Chordata; Mammalia; Rodentia; Cricetidae.
CCUGACUGGACUCAGGACGCCCCCGGACCCCGGGAUGCCUCGCUGGAGGCUGCAGGAAGAUUCCCAGAGGGCCACAUAGGGCACAGAGGGCCACAGCGCGCCCCAGUGUCCACAGAUUCUGCCCAGACAGCGACCAGGACUCCACCGGGGGCCUGGGCCGUGCCCAGAGAGGCUUCAGGUCUCAGCAGCUGGGAUCAAAGAAGCAGCCACCCAUCCAUUCCUUAGAGAAGGCCCCUGACCGGACUCAGGACGCCCCAGGACCCCGAGAUGCUGCGCUAGAGGCUGCAGGAAGAUGCUUAGAGGGCACAGAGGGCCACAGUGCGCCCCAGUGUCCACAGACUCUGCCCAGACAGCGACCAUGACUCCACCUGGGGCCUGGGCCCUGGCCAGAGAGGCUUCAGGUAUCACCAUCCGUGAACAAACAAGCAGCUUCCCUACCACAUCCAUACAGUCGUCAGAGAAGGUAUCAGCAUCCGUGAACAAACAAGCAGCUUCCCUACCACAUCCAUACAGUCAUCAGAGAAGGUAAGGCAUCUUUCUUUUGUGACAGUCCAAGGACCGCUCUACUAUAUUUCCAUUGAACAAGGUGUCC